Sapajus apella (tufted capuchin) is the source of this 361-nucleotide long non-coding RNA. RefSeq lists it as uncharacterized. The record is from RefSeq and is a predicted model, not a curated record. Lineage: Eukaryota; Metazoa; Chordata; Mammalia; Primates; Cebidae. The transcript is spliced from 3 exons.
UUCAGAAGGAAAAUGUGGGGUCUCUGACCCCACACAGAGUCCCUACUGGGGGACCACCUAGUGAAGCUUGAGAAGACAGCCACCAUCCUUCAGACCCCAGAAUGGUAGAUCCACCAACAGCUUGCACUGUGCAUCUGGAAAAACCACAGACACUCAACGCCAGCCUGUGAAAGCAGCCAAAAAGGAGCCUGUACCCUGAAAAACCACAGGGAUCAUGCUACCCAAGACCAUGGGAACCACCCUCUUGCAUCAGUGUGACAUGGAUGUGAGACAUGGAGUCAAAGGAGAUCAUUUUGAAGCUGUAAGAUUUGACUGACCCAUGGAUUUCAGACUUGUAUGGGGCCUUUUGCUGCUUUGUUUU